This 484-nucleotide ribosomal RNA is filed under the name uncultured bacterium. RNAcentral describes it as "partial 16S ribosomal RNA". It matches the Rfam family "Bacterial small subunit ribosomal RNA", at positions 30 to 507 of the family's 1533-position model. The record is from RNAcentral.
AUUGAACGCUGGCGGCAGGCCUAACACAUGCAAGUCGAGCGGAUGAAGGGAGCUUGCUCCUGGAUUCAGCGGCGGACGGGUGAGUAAUGCCUAGGAAUCUGCCUUGUCGUGGGGGAUAACGUCCGGAUACGGGCGCUAAUACCGCAUCCGUCCUUAUGGAGAAAGUGAGGGAUCUUCGGACCUCUCGCUAUCAGAUGAGCCUAGGUCGAAUUAGCUAGUUGGUGGGGUAACGGCCUACCAAGGCGACGAUCCGUAACUGGUCUGAGAGGAUGAUCAGUCACACUGGAACAGAGAAACGGUCCAGACACCUACGGGAGGCAGCAGUGGGGAAUAUUGGACGAUGGGCGAAAGCCUGAUCCAGCCAUGCCGCGUGUGUGAAGAAGGUCUUCGGAUGGUAAAGCACUUUAAGUUGGGAGGAAGGGAAGUAAGUUAAUACCUGGCUGUAUUGACGGUACCAACAGAAUAAGCACCGGCUAACUUCGUG